RNAcentral lists this ribosomal RNA (497 nucleotides) under uncultured bacterium. RNAcentral's name for it is "partial 16S ribosomal RNA". It matches the Rfam family "Bacterial small subunit ribosomal RNA", at positions 28 to 507 of the family's 1533-position model. The record is from RNAcentral.
GACGAACGCUGGCGGCGUGCCUAAUACAUGCAAGUUGAGCGCUGAAGGUUGGUACUUGUACCAACUGGAUGAGCAGCGAACGGGUGAGUAACGCGUGGGGAAUCUGCCUUUGAGCGGGGGACAACUUUUGGAAACGAAUGCUAAUACCGCAUAAAAACUUUAAACACAAGUUUUAAGUUUGAAAGAUGCAAUUGCAUCACUCAAAGAUGAUCCCGCGUUGUAUUAGCUAGUUGGUGAGGUAAAGGCUCACCAAGGCGAUGAUACAUAGCCGACCUGAGAGGGUGAUAGGCCACAUUGGGACUGGGACAAGGCCCAAACUCCUACGGGAGGAAGCAGUAGAGAAUCUUCGGCAAUGGACGAAAGUCUGACCGAGCAACGCCGGGUGAGUGAAGAAGGUUUUCGGAUCGUAAAACUCUGUUGGUAGAGAAGAACGUUGGUGAGAGUGGAAAGCUCAUCAAGUGACGGUAACUACCCAGAAAGGGACGGCUAACUACGUG